RNAcentral lists this ribosomal RNA (253 nucleotides) under uncultured bacterium. RNAcentral describes it as "partial 16S ribosomal RNA". It matches the Rfam family "Bacterial small subunit ribosomal RNA", at positions 524 to 776 of the family's 1533-position model. The record is from RNAcentral.
UACGUAGGUGGCAAGCGUUGUCCGGAAUUAUUGGGCGUAAAGCGCGCGCAGGCGGUUUCUUAAGUCUGAUGUGAAAGCCCACGGCUUAACCGUGGAAGGUCAUUGGAAACUGGGGGACUUGAGUGCAGAAGAGGAAAGCGGAAUUCCACGUGUAGCGGUGAAAUGCGUAGAGAUGUGGAGGAACACCAGUGGCGAAGGCGGCUUUCUGGUCUGUAACUGACGCUGAGGCGCGAAAGCGUGGGGAGCAAACAGG